Molecule: ribosomal RNA, 507 nt
Filed under: uncultured bacterium
Lineage: Bacteria
Description: partial 16S ribosomal RNA
Rfam family: Bacterial small subunit ribosomal RNA
Source: RNAcentral
GACGAACGCUGGCGGCGUGCUUAACACAUGCAAGUCGAACGGGCCUUGUCCCCUUUUUUUUGGGGGUGGGGUUAGUGGCGAACGGGUGAGUAACACGUGAGUAACCUGCCCCUCACUUCUGGAUAACCGCUUGAAAGGGUGGCUAAUACGGGGUGUUCUGGCCUGCUCGCAUGGGUGGGUUUGGAAAGAUUCGACCGGUUUUGGUUGUUUUGGUGGGGGUUGGGCUCGCGGCCUAUCAGCUUGUUGGUGGGGGGAUGGCCUGCCAAGGCUUUGACGGGUAGCCGGCCUGAGAGGGUGGGCGGUCACACUGGGACUGAGACACGGCCCAGACUCCUACGGGAGGCAGCAGUGGGGAAUAUUGCACAAUGGGCGCAAGCCUGAUGCAGCGACGCCGCGUGAGGGAUGGAGGCCUUCGGGUUGUGAACCUCUUUCGCCAGUGAAGAAGGUCCUGCUCUUUGUGGUGGGGUUGACGGUAGCUGGGUUAAUGAAGCGCCGGCUAACUACGUG